CGAACGCUGGCGGCGUGCUUAACACAUGCAAGUCGACCGGAAAGGCCCCUUUGGGGGUACUCGAGUGGCGAACGGGUGAGUAACACGUGAGUAACCUGCCCUUGACUUCGGGAUAACUUCAGGAAACUGGGGCUAAUACCGGAUAGGAAUCCUUGCUGCAUGGUGGGGGUUGGAAAGCUUCGGCGGUUUUGGAUGGACUCGCGGCUUAUCUGCUUGUUGGUGGGGUAGUGGCUUACCAAGGCUUUGACGGGUAGCCGGCCUGAGAGGGCGACCGGCCACAUUGGGACUGAGAUACGGCCCAGACUCCUACGGGAGGCAGCAGUGGGGAAUAUUGCACAAUGGGCGGAAGCCUGAUGCAGCAACGCCGCGUGCGGGAUGACGGCCUUCGGGUUGUAAACCGCUUUCAGCAGGGGCGAAGCUUGUGGUGACGGUACCUGCAGAAGAAGCACCGGCUAACUACGUG
This 463-nucleotide ribosomal RNA is filed under the name uncultured bacterium. Its description in RNAcentral is "partial 16S ribosomal RNA". It matches the Rfam family "Bacterial small subunit ribosomal RNA", at positions 30 to 507 of the family's 1533-position model. The record is from RNAcentral.